GAUGAAUGUACAAGGCUGAAGAUGGAGCUUCUUUUUACAGACAACUUUGCACACUAUUGCACACACCUUUUGACACACUUUCUCGGGCACACUUCUUUUUUUUUUACUACCACUAAUUUAUAGGCAAAGCAUUUACAAGUGACAGGUGAGAAUACAGGUGAGAAUUAAUUUCAAGUGGUUGGAUGGUAGGAAAAUAUUUACAGUGUUCAGAGGUUUGGUAUAAAAUAAAUACAAAGACUUUUGAGACUUUUACUUGUGACUUUUGUUUAUUCAUCCGUUCUUCUCUUCCUUCUUGUCUCUUUCUCUUGUCAUUUUCUUGCAUAAUACGUGGCUUGUGGAUGCCUUUACUGCUUCUGAACUUGUAUUGCCAUAUUUAAUUUUUGUAGUUGAAGACGCAUUUACUGCUUUAAUGUCGUCAUUGCUGACAUCAUCCUUCCAUUGCAUUUUGUAGAUUAUGAUAACUUUCAUCGUCCAGGUUGUCCCAAAAUAAUGCGUCAUCGCUGAGGUAGGAAGAUGGUUCCGGUAUAUCUACACUGAGUUCGUUUAUAAAAUCCUGUUCUUCUAAAGUAAUAAAAGGGUUUGGAACAAUAAUGUGUUCUAAAGGUUUUACUCUCCAUAUAGACAUGGUUUUUGUUUCGCCAAUGAGAUGAAAUAAUUUAUUCCGGGUUGGUCUAAGAUCA
Molecule: long non-coding RNA, 680 nt
Filed under: Vitis vinifera (wine grape)
Lineage: Eukaryota; Viridiplantae; Streptophyta; Magnoliopsida; Vitales; Vitaceae
Description: long non-coding RNA (VVIN_LNC007775)
Source: RNAcentral